GCCGGUGUAGCUCAGUGGAUAGAGCGUCGGCCUGUGGACUGAAGAGUCCCGGGUUCGAUUCCGGUCAAGGGCA
This 73-nucleotide transfer RNA is filed under the name Myotis davidii. It matches the Rfam family "tRNA". From Rfam's summary of the family: Transfer RNA (tRNA) molecules are approximately 80 nucleotides in length. Their secondary structure includes four short double-helical elements and three loops (D, anti-codon, and T loops). Further hydrogen bonds mediate the characteristic L-shaped molecular structure. tRNAs have two regions of fundamental functional importance: the anti-codon, which is responsible for specific mRNA codon recognition, and the 3' end, to which the tRNAs corresponding amino acid is attached (by aminoacyl-tRNA synthetases). tRNAs cope with the degeneracy of the genetic code in two manners: having more than one tRNA (with a specific anti-codon) for a particular amino acid; and 'wobble' base-pairing, i.e. permitting non-standard base-pairing at the 3rd anti-codon position. The record is from Rfam by way of RNAcentral. Lineage: Eukaryota; Metazoa; Chordata; Mammalia; Chiroptera; Vespertilionidae.